UACGGGGGGGGCAAGCGUUGUUCGGAAUUACUGGGCGUAAAGGGUUCGUAGGUGGCUUGUUAAGUCAGACGUGAAAUCCCUCGGCUCAACCGGGGAACUGCGUCUGAGACUGAUGAGCUCGAGUGCAGGAGAGGAACGCGGAAUUCCAGGUGUAGCGGUGAAAUGCGUAGAUAUCUGGAGGAACACCGGUGGCGAAGGCGGGUAGCUGGGCCAACACUGACGCUGAUGCGCGAAAGCUAGGGGAGCAAACGGG
Molecule: ribosomal RNA, 253 nt
Filed under: uncultured bacterium
Lineage: Bacteria
Description: partial 16S ribosomal RNA
Rfam family: Bacterial small subunit ribosomal RNA
Source: RNAcentral